UUAUGGCCAUAUCACAUUGAAAUACUGGUUUCUGUAUGAUCACCGAAGUUAAGCAACAUCAAGCCUGAUCAGUACCUAGAUGGGUAGCCACUUGGGAAUACAAGAUGUUGUAA
Non-coding RNA from Acanthosepion pharaonis, 113 nucleotides. The record is from the annotation of a GenBank genome assembly. NCBI's taxonomy places the organism in Eukaryota, Metazoa, Mollusca, Cephalopoda, Sepiida, Sepiidae.